CGUGUCAUGCCAUAACGUAUUCCACUAAUCUACCUACACAGUUGAGAAAUAUAUUAGUUGUAAUAUACAUAUCAGAUUUUGUAACAACUUAAUAAAUACAGUUUGAAAUUUUUACAAUGAUUUGUCACGAUGUAGAAUCUAAGUAAUCAUCAGUCUUCCUAGAAUGGUGUAUGACUUCCUAUAACCGCAGCUAGCCUAUGGAUGACCCAAUUACCGUAUCUACAAUAAGUAAAUAAUAAAAUUAAAUUAAUUAAAAUAUACGUAUAAGAGUUUUUAUAGUUCUAAUGAAUAAUUUUGAUAUAUAUUUCUUACCAAUAUGUCGGCCACAAUAUGUGUGCCAAUGGAGCUGUCCGUAUGUCUGAUCGGAUCCUACUGGACGAUCCGAUUAUAUCGGACUCUCUGCCACUUAAUGGAGUACUCCUCGCUACUCCACUGGUCGCAAAGGGCCUCCCGUAUGUCCGUCUGCAUCCAGUGAUUCCUAUAGGAUCUCCAGUUCGAUGGUGAUUGAGAAUCGAAAUGCUCAAUGGCAAACUGCCUAAGGCUAUGUAGCCCAUCUUGAAACCUACAUAUGGCUACC
This 577-nucleotide long non-coding RNA is filed under the name Elaeis guineensis (African oil palm). RNAcentral describes it as "long non-coding RNA (EGUI_LNC004836)". Lineage: Eukaryota; Viridiplantae; Streptophyta; Magnoliopsida; Arecales; Arecaceae. The record is from RNAcentral.